GACGAACGCUGGCGGCGGGCUUAACACAUGCAAGUCGAACGGUAAGGCUCCAGCUUGCUGGGGUACACGAGUGGCGAACGGGUGAGUAACACGUGGGUGACCUGCCCUGCACUUCGGGAUAAGCCUGGGAAACUGGGUCUAAUACCGGAUAGGACCAUGGUGUGGAUACUGUGGUGGAAAGUUUUUUCGGUGUGGGAUGGGCCCGCGGCCUAUCAGCUUGUUGGUGGGGUAAGGGCCUACCAAGGCGGCGACGGGGAGCCGGCCUGAGAGGGUGGACGGCCACAUUGGGCCUGAGACACGGCCCAGACUCCUACGGGAGGCAGCAGUGGGGAAUAUUGCACAAUGGGCGGAAGCCUGAUGCAGCGACGCCGCGUGGGGGAUGACGGCCUUCGGGUUGUAAACUCCUUUCACCAUCGACGAAGGGUUUCUGACGGUAGAUGGAGAAGAAGCACCGGCUAACUACGUG
Molecule: ribosomal RNA, 466 nt
Filed under: uncultured bacterium
Lineage: Bacteria
Description: partial 16S ribosomal RNA
Rfam family: Bacterial small subunit ribosomal RNA
Source: RNAcentral